This 497-nucleotide ribosomal RNA is filed under the name uncultured bacterium. RNAcentral's name for it is "partial 16S ribosomal RNA". It matches the Rfam family "Bacterial small subunit ribosomal RNA", at positions 28 to 507 of the family's 1533-position model. The record is from RNAcentral.
GAUGAACGCUGGCGGCGUGCCUAAUACAUGCAAGUCGAGCGAACGGACGAGAAGCUUGCUUCUCUGAUGUUAGCGGCGGACGGGUGAGUAACACGUGGAUAACCUACCUAUAAGACUGGGAUAACUUCGGGAAACCGGAGCUAAUACCGGAUAAUAUUUUGAACCGCAUGGUUCAAAAGUGAAAGACGGUCUUGCUGUCACUUAUAGAUGGAUCCGCGCUGCAUUAGCUAGUUGGUAAGGUAACGGCUUACCAAGGCAACGAUGCAUAGCCGACCUGAGAGGGUGAUCGGCCACACUGGAACUGAGACACGGUCCAGACUCCUACGGGAGGCAGCAGUAGGGAAUCUUCCGCAAUGGGCGAAAGCCUGACGGAGCAACGCCGCGUGAGUGAUGAAGGCCUUCGGAUCGUAAAACUCUGUUAUUAGGGAAGAACAUAUGUGUAAGUAAAUGUGCACAUCUUGACGGUACCUAAUAAGAAAGCAACGGCUAACUACGUG